Molecule: long non-coding RNA, 253 nt
Filed under: Elaeis guineensis (African oil palm)
Lineage: Eukaryota; Viridiplantae; Streptophyta; Magnoliopsida; Arecales; Arecaceae
Description: long non-coding RNA (EGUI_LNC032836)
Source: RNAcentral
GUUUUCCUCUAAUGCCACUAGUAGGGAGAUAUUUUCACGCACACCAAAUUAGUGUCCCAUAAUAUUAUUUGCUAUAGGGGGAGUCUGCCGCCUGACCCGACCUUCCUUUUGUCGGGUUAUAACCGAACACUAGCCUUGGACACCUCACUGAUAACCUAAAAGAAGGACAAAGAACUCCCUCAGACGUUGAAAAAAGAAGACCAAAAAAUCAAAUUGAAACAACUCUAUGACAUUAGCUUCUUUCCAACCCCUA